UGGGGUGUGGCUCCGUGGUAAAGGGCUUGCCCAGCAUGCAGGAGGCCCUGGGUUCCAUCCCCAGCACCACAA
Non-coding RNA from Ictidomys tridecemlineatus (thirteen-lined ground squirrel), 72 nucleotides. Lineage: Eukaryota; Metazoa; Chordata; Mammalia; Rodentia; Sciuridae. The record is from Rfam.